This 253-nucleotide ribosomal RNA is filed under the name uncultured bacterium. RNAcentral's name for it is "partial 16S ribosomal RNA". It matches the Rfam family "Bacterial small subunit ribosomal RNA", at positions 524 to 776 of the family's 1533-position model. The record is from RNAcentral.
UACGAAGGGUGCAAGCGUUGCUCGGAAUUAUUGGGCGUAAAGGGUUGGUAGGUGGUCUUGUUUGUCUAAGGUGAAAUCCCAGGACUUAACCCUGGAAGUGCCUUAGAAACGGCAAGACUAGAGUUCUAGAGGGGUUUGUGGAAUUCCCGGUGUAGCGGUGAAAUGCGUAGAGAUCGGGAGGAACACCAGCGGCGAAGGCGGCAAACUGGAUAGACACUGACACUCAACAACGAAAGCGUGGGGAGCAAACAGG